UACGGAAGGCAGCAGUGGGGAAUAUUGCACAAUGGGCGAAAGCCUGAUGCAGCUAUGCCGCGUGUAUGAAGAAGGCCUUAGGGUUGUAAAGUACUUUCAUCGGGGAGGAAAAACAAAACUAAUAAUUUUAUUUCUUGACGUUACCCGAAAAAGAAGCACCGGCUAACUCCGUGCCGGCAGCCGCGGUAAUACGGAGGGUGCUAGCGUUAAUCAGAAUUACUGGGCGUAAAGAGCACGUAGGUGGUUUUUUUAAGUCAGAUGUGAAAUCCCUGGGCUUAACCUAGGAACUGCAUUUUGAAACUGAAAUACUAGAGUAUCGUAGAGGGAGGUAGAAUUCUAGGUGUAGCGGUGAAAUGCGUAGAUAUCUGGAGGAAUACCUGUGGCGAAAGCGGCCUCCUAAACGAAUACUGACACUGAGGGUGCGAAAGCGUGGGGAGCAAACAGGGAUUAGAUACC
This 456-nucleotide ribosomal RNA is filed under the name uncultured bacterium. RNAcentral's name for it is "bacterial SSU rRNA". It matches the Rfam family "Bacterial small subunit ribosomal RNA", at positions 340 to 786 of the family's 1533-position model. The record is from RNAcentral.